GACGAACGCUGGCGGCGUGCUUAACACAUGCAAGUCGAACGGAAAGGCCCUGCUUUUGUGGGGUGCUCGAGUGGCGAACGGGUGAGUAACACGUGAGUAACCUGCCCUUGACUUUGGGAUAACUUCAGGAAACUGGGGCUAAUACCGGAUAUGAGCUCCUGCUGCAUGGUGGGGGUUGGAAAGUUUCGGCGGUUGGGGAUGGACUCGCGGCUUAUCAGCUUGUUGGUGGGGUAGUGGCUUACCAAGGCUUUGACGGGUAGCCGGCCUGAGAGGGUGACCGGCCACAUUGGGACUGAGAUACGGCCCAGACUCCUACGGGAGGCAGCAGUGGGGAAUAUUGCACAAUGGGCGGAAGCCUGAUGCAGCAACGCCGCGUGCGGGAUGACGGCCUUCGGUUUGUAAACCGCUUUCGCCUGUGACGAAGCGUGAGUGACGGUAAUGGGUAAAGAAGCACCGGCUAACUACGUG
This 468-nucleotide ribosomal RNA is filed under the name uncultured bacterium. Its description in RNAcentral is "partial 16S ribosomal RNA". It matches the Rfam family "Bacterial small subunit ribosomal RNA", at positions 28 to 507 of the family's 1533-position model. The record is from RNAcentral.